AGCAAGUAUAGAAAGCUAAAAGCAUUAGAAACCAAUAUAUUUUACAUAUACGGAUAUAAGAUUUCCCUCAGGAACCAAAACGUACAACUCAAAUGUAACUAAAACUCCAUUUUUGUUCCAGAUACUUCGUAUAAAUACAAGAAGUGCAACAUUCCCCUUUGUGUCUGGCCAACAGACACCGCUCAAAAUCCUCUUUUCCUCUCAUAUAUUAUGAUCUAAUCUCUAUAUAAUACACAUACGCCUGCUUAUGCUAACCUUCAAGACUUCAAUAACAGCAGAUUAGAUUGGAAUGAAUAUAAUCGGAACAGAAAACAUGAGACAAAAUGUUGAAUCUCAGAGACAAAAAAUGCAUAUUCUACCAUAUGCAGAAAGUUGAGCUAAUUUACUCCUAAGCUGACGCUGUUGCAAGUCAUUCUUUUUUCCCCCCUGAAAUAUUGAAGUUAUCAGGCCCUGACUGUUCAAGAACUAAAUAAAAAAUGUACGAGAACAAGGCUCAAGGUUCCUGAACUUGACCCAUAAGCAAUGACUGGAGGCUAAGAAGAAAAUCACAAAGGACAAGAUUGGAAAGCUAACAUUUCCUCUGUGCGUACCUUGCUGAUGAGAUUAAUUGAUCGGAGCGCACGAGGAGAAGGUGAUUGACAGCCCUGUCGUCCUCAUUUCCGGCGAUCUUCUUGUUGGGCUUCCUCGCUGACUACUUUCUUGUGCGACUCUUGUGCAUUUCUUCUCGAUCUCUCUCCACUCCUUUCCCCCUUCUUUCCUCGAGGAGAAGAAUGAGCGGUGGUGGACCGAUCGAAGUAUCAAAGGCGAAGAGAAGGUGCCAGAAACCCAAACGAACAACACCCCGAAUUCAAAGCUCCGGGGAGUGAACGAGGGCAUGG
RNAcentral lists this long non-coding RNA (878 nucleotides) under Elaeis guineensis (African oil palm). RNAcentral describes it as "long non-coding RNA (EGUI_LNC015714)". Lineage: Eukaryota; Viridiplantae; Streptophyta; Magnoliopsida; Arecales; Arecaceae. The record is from RNAcentral.